GUGCAAAGCUGUGUACUCAGACACUGCCUGUCAGGCCAAGUGACUUGUCAAAUCAAAGCCUUCUUGAGCAUGCAGCUCUCCCUCUUCCUUUCUCAAAGGGAAGAGUUCCUUCUCAAAGAGCUCUUUCCCCAGUCCCUGCAUUUCCAGGAUCACAAAGCAGGUGAGUUGCUAAAGCAAAAUUAGUUCCACCUCAUGUAGCAAAUACUGCAGUGAUACUAGAAAAAAGGAUUUUAAUGAACAGGGGCAAUGCAGAAUUUUAGACAUCUAGAGAGAUACUUGUUUAUUUCAAAAUGCCUUUUAAUUUGAUUUAAAGGGAAAGUCAGUUUUCAAACUAUCAACAGGAAAAUGAAACAGUUUGUUCAAUCCAAAUGUAUUCAGAAAGUCUUUUCCUUAAUAAUGUUGAAUUUUGUUUCUGGUCCAACUGAAAGCAAUUUUUUUUUUUUACUUUUUCAGAACUGCCAGCAAAUCAGAAAUAUACAGAUAUGCCAGAGCUUUGGAUUUAAAAUAGUGGAUAAAAAAAUGAAAUAGAAACAAAAUUGGCAGCCAAUAAGAUUAUGAGAAAAUAAAUGCAGCUAAAUUGUAAAAUUGAGGGGACACCUGAAUGCUUCACAGAAUAUUUAAAUAAUUGCGCAUAUGUGUCCAAGGACAAACAGCGGAAUUGUGGGUCCUUUCAGUGCCUUCUGUGAAAAAGGAAAACAGUAUGCUUUCAAUUGUUCAGAGCUCUUUACAUUCUUUAUACCACCUUGUAUACUACUCUUCCAUUGCAUUGUCUAUGGAAAACAAAUAAAAAAUAAACCCACAAAAAAACAAAACUCAGCUAGGAUGAGCAUGAAUACACAAUGUUACCUCAAUUAGAAAAUAUUGUUCUCUCUAACCACUUGCAGACAUGAAUAUAAAAAGCACAUUUUCAGCUUGAGUCAGAUUCAGAAGUGGUGUAAAUGCAGGAGUUCGUUAUACUUUGUGCACGUAUAUCUGCACAGCUGGAUGUCAGUAUUACAGGCUGCUUGCAGUAUUUCCUAUGCCAUCAUUGUUUAUUUUCCUCUUUUUCUUAUUUUUUUCUUUGUUAUGAUGUUUUUCUUACGUGUAACUUUCUUUAAGGAAAUGGGGAUUAUCUUCAAAGAAAUGAGUAGAGAUGAGGUCUAUCUGCUAGUUCUAUACUGUGGGUUCACCACAGAUAUCAUUAAUGCUUUCUUUAUUGAGUCUCAAGGUGAGAUGUGAUGGCAUCUCUGUUACUGCAACAGACUAGUGGAGUUCUCCAUCAUUAAUCUUUAUGUAACUUUUAUUUUAAAACCUUCUGUCCUUUAUUAGCAUCCUCACACAGGGCUUCAGUUUUACCUAAUCCCAAAAAUAAUUUAACAUGUCAUUUCUUUCUCAGACAUCAAUAUGUGGAUGUGUGCCAGAGGCUGCACUUUUAACAUAGCUUUAGGCAUUCACAGUUUCUCCCCAAAGCAACCUGAAAACAGAUUAGUAUGUGAAAUUCAUCUCAGACAUGGUGUUAUUUCUUCCACUUUAGCAGCAGAUUUUCUACACACCUAUUUUUAAACAGGUUGUAGAGGGAUUUUAAAGAUAUUACUCAUUUUGAAUAUUAAUAUAUUUUUUUAAUGAAAAAUUUAACCAAAUAUGCUAAAUAUUUGAUGUUUUUUUCUAGUGGCUGGAAAAUCAUAGAAUGGUUUGGGUUGGAGGAGACCUUUAAGAUCAUUGCCCCUGUUACAGGCAGGGAAUCACCAUUAUGUUAAGAAAUUAUUCAUCAAAUUCCACACUUCCAAAAUUUCCCAUAGCAUCUUAAACUGUGUAUUGUUUUUACCAAUAUCCAAUCCAACUGUCGUGGAUAUCUGAGCUGCCCAUUUAUUCGGCACAGCCAUCUCCCUUUUGUCUAACUCUGGUAUUUUCUGAGGCAGAAAAUUUCUGUUAUAACCAUUUGGGUGGUCCUGACAGGUCUAUUUUUGGCUACAUAUGCCGGAAUCAAAGAUUUUUGACAUGAUUUUUUUUCCCUUUUGCAAUAAAUGCCAAAUUUCUUUCUGACACCUGUGAGGAAAGUUAACAGUUUUUUUUAAGUAACACCUAAUUGCCUCACUGGUUACCAGUGGUACUCAACAACCAUCAUUUUUUUGGACAAGAAACAAUAAAUUUGAGGUUAAGGACAGCUAUGAGGAUGGAUUUGCAGUUAGGGUGCUAGAGAUGUGCUCUUAGUUCCUCAGUCCAUCAUAUAUUUCAGGUAUGAUUUUGCCCAAAUGAUUUUCUGUGUAAUUCAUCAUCGCAUUAUACCAUGCCAGAAACACUAUAAAUUAUUUACCCUGAAUCUCCAGCUGAGUAAAUUAUUCCACUGAGUAUAUCUGUUCUGGACUACAUUUUGCAAUGUAAGCACAUUCUCUGUAAGUAUGGGGAGAUCACUGCUGCUUUGUUUCACACUAGCUCACACAGUGCCUACAGAAGUGAGAAGAUGACCAGUGUUAUGACACAAGGGAUCAGGGAGUAUGCAAACUGACAGCAGUCUGCUGCUGAGAGUUGGAACCAUGAACACCGGAACCAUGACCACCUUUUGAGUUAGGUACUAACAAGAGAAUUUUCCUGUUUGGAUGAUCCUCCACUGUCCCUCCAUUCAUCCAACCACGAAUGCAAGCUUGCCAAUGCAUGGACACUGCUACUGGCAACAUAGCAGAAAAUAAACAAGAUCCUGGAGCAGGCUCAGAGAAAGUUCAUUCUAAUGGCUAAUGGAGGAUUAAUGUCAAAUUAAGAGAAUUAAAUCUUGAAUGGCUUCCUUCUUGUAUUGUGAUUCCUCUUAGCUUGGAGUAAGAGAAACACCAGAUUUCUCUGACUUUUAAGCAUACUAAGGGUGGUUCUUGGCAUGACUGCAACCAAAUUUGUCUUUACUGGCACUCACUAACUACAAGUGAGAAUGAUGCCAGCAUUUUGUUCUUUCUGCAGUGUGGUCUGUAUAUAGCCAUUUUAUUACAUACGGUAAAAACGUGUGCUGCUCUGUUCUAGCAGGAGCACAGUCAACAUCAUAAGAAUGCUAAGAGCAAAUUGGUCAGAUUGCCUAAGCAUGUGCUUCUGACUCAGCUCAGAUUCUGACACUGACAAAGCUGUAAUAAUUUUCAAGCUUGAGAUCUGAGCAGAGGGAAUCCCAUUCUUUUGACUGUGAAUGAAAAUGCCAUUGGACCCCAGGGCACAUGGAAAUAAUGUGUUAUGCCCAGUUCUGACAUACAAUUGCAAGAACCUGUAUUCACAUGCUGGAGCUGAAGUGGAUGUAUCCUCACAUCCACCAGACAUAUUUAUGUACCCUCAUUAACCACUAUGUGCUGGGCAGCUGGGAGGGAAGCUGCCAUAGAAGUAGCAUUCAGCAUAAGGAGCAAACAGCAGUCUAACUGUUAAUACGCUCUGGGAGACAGGGCAUUGCUGUGCUGUGCCCUGCAUAUAUCCAUGUUAUUGUGCAACCUGCUUUCACAGUUGCUUAUAGCCAAGUGCCUGGUACCCACUCAUAAAAUAUUUUCAGACUUGUCUGUGUAUGCAGAAAUAUGACCAUGUAAGAUUUUGAUUUUUAACAGCAAGAAGUGGAUGACUCUGAAACCUGCAACAGCUAGGGAUUAAAGUGUUAUUGGCACUGCUGUAUCUAACUUACACUAACAAGUGAUCUAAUCAUCUAGCCAAUACUAACAUGAAGAAUUACUGCUCUAAAUAAACAAACAAAAACAUAAAAAAGUAUGUAUUAGGAACCAUCUUGGAGCCAUUUAUUAUGGAGAGACAUAAGCUGUCUCUAGAAUACCUGACACCUUGGCCACUUUGAAUACAACUCUCUCAUUUAAUUCUCUGUGAAGGUCUGCUCAGAAGUAAUUGAGACAUUAUGUUUUUAAGCUACAAUUUACCAAUAGAUCUCUGUCUUAUAGACUAGGAUUUUAAUCAGUUGAGAAACUGAUUUUCAAGGCCUUUUCAGGAGCUGAAAUUGGGCAACCAAUUGGUUGUUCUCAUAGGAAAACUGCAGUGAUAAUAAUACUCAUGUUCAAAUGCCUCUGAGUCACUAUUCUCCCAACUACUGCUCAAUCAUAAUAUAAAACACCAUGUCAGUAUUCUUCCUGGCUCAGUAGGCUUCCUGGAACACUUGGUUAAAUUUUCUCCCUUCUGUUUCCUUCCCAUUGAAUUGUUCAUCCAGGAGCUUUCCUUUCUUUUUUUCUUCUAUUUCAUUUAUAAAUAGCAACUUUAUGAAAAGGGCAGAGAUGGCAUGUUUUUUUUUUCAAAGCUAGAUUUUACGGGGACUCUGUCAAGUGGUAGAGAAAAUGAGACUAAAAUUGCCAAAAUUUCUCAGGUAUGGGCCACAUGCAUAAUUGUGAGUGGGACUGCAAGGAGUGUGAUGACAGUUCUGGCUCCAUAAAAUUAUCUUAAAAUACACAAAUACAUGUUAUUCAUUAAACAAUUUUGUUAGAAGUAGUAUGAGAGAUAUUUAAGCUUUGAUAAUGCACACUACAAGAGAGAAACAAGGUUCCGAAAGGAAGAUUUACAGUGAAUACAAAUUGUGAGUGAUGGAAUUAGCAGAGUCUAAAAAGAAGAGCUUUAAAGAUUUCAGGUUGUUUUCUUCUUCCUCUUCUUCCCUACACACUGGAAGUUAUUUUAUUAAAAGUCAGAAUUAAAAAGCAAGAGUACUUCAACACCCAUUAUUAAAAUAAAUGUGUUUAUUGCAAAUGUCUUAGCAAAUGUGAAUGAGGUUAGCUGGAGUCCUGCAACACCACUGCACAUGCUUCCAUCCCACCAGUGCUGGAGGUGCAUUCCAGGGAACCUUGAGCACAAGGCUGACACAAAAUUUAGAAAUUUGCAGGCAUGGCAUCUUGGAGAAGAAACAUAUGUUGGCUCAGAGUAAGGUCCCAUUUCUGUGUGUCUUCAGGUGGCACUCUACAGAGAUCUGAAUAAGUUCCUUAAGAGUCUUUUGUUCUGAGAACAUAGCUCAGUACUAUAACAAAGAUUAAUUGUUUUAAGUUCCCAAACUGUAUUGUUCAGUGCUCAUUCACUGCAUACAACAGUAUGCCUGAGUUGAUUCUAUAGCCUCUCCUACAGCCUUUUAGGCUGUUCUACCUCAGAGUCACAUUUUUUUUUCCUCCUUCAUAAGAACUUAAUGAGAAAAACUUUAAAUCAGUUCACAGAAUUCAUGGAAAUGACUGAGUUUUCUUGAUUCCAGGAAGGCAAGACUCAUCUCAUUUGGCCUUGGGUGUUUACAAGCAAGGAGAGAAAAGGGCAAAUUUUGGACUUCUUUGACUUAUGUUACAUAGAUAUUUGUUAGACAUUUAUUGCAGGGUAAGAUGACCCAUGGCCUACACUCUGUUGAGUAUAUUAAGUCCUUGUUAUUUAUAAAGAGAUCUUGGAGUGUUUAUUCAAUUAAUUAGAUGAAUUACGCUGGAGGUAAUGCCUAAUGAUUUUCCAAUGAGUAAGGAAGAUUUGUCCCUAAAUCUCAGUACAGAAUUGUCUGGUGUAAUGACUAAUCUUGUUAAGAUUCCAGUUUUCAACUUUUUUUUUUUUUUUUUGGCAAAUUUACUCAGAUUUGGUAAGUAAUACAGCAACUGCAUCAAUUUCACUAGAUUACUUUCAUCAUAAAUAGGGGAAAAAAACAACACUAACAAAUAAUAAUUUUUCCCUUCCAGAACUUUACACCUGAUUCCAUAUUCUGAAAACAAUAAUGGUACUCACCUCUUUGGGGAAGAGGGAGAAAUUUCUGUACACAUAAAAUAAAACUAUUUGCUGAAUCCACCGAUGCUUUUAAUUGCAUAUGGUACAAGAAAUCUGUAAGUACUGCUACUGAGAACUAGGUGUAGUUAGUCUCUUUUCAUGUCAGAAACUGAAGACACAUGCAGUGCAGGUGACAGGCUACACACAGAGUUUCACCCUCAAUCCUUUAACUUUUUCAAUAGAUGAAACACUGAGUGAUAACUAUGAAGUAGCUGUUACUGACUGAGUUACCGCCUGGUUGUUUCAUGGUAGACAGACAGAGCCUCACAGUGUGAUAAAGGUUGGUGGGUAGGCACAGUUUUGAAAGCAUCCACUAUUGGCUCUAUCACUUCACAAGAGAAGGAGCUGAAGGAAAGCAGUAUAUUUUGCACGCACUGUGAUCUUUGAUGUUCUGUCCUACCUGGCAGCCCAAUGUUGCCAUCUAAAUGACAGCGCUGUUUUCUUGUUUAUUCUUUAUUUUAUCCAGUAUGUUUUAGAAUGAAUGUGUUUCAAAUGUGUGUGGUAUAAAAGUAGUACAGGAACACUGUUUCUUAAUUGUGCUCCAGGGAAGUCUUACUUUUCACUUCAUCAUAAACAAGAAUGCUGGAAAUUGAAAUGAACUGGCAAACCUAAGCUGCCCAUACAAUGCAAUUAGCUAAAAGAGUGAUAAAAGAUCUUAUCAAAUUUUCUAGGCAAAUAUAUAAUAUCCAUGCUUCUCAGCUAUCUGAAAAAGGUGAGUAUUCUUUCGAAUGUCCACAAUCAGUUCAAAGAUACUACCAGAACAAAGAGACACAGCCUGGAAUAAUCUUCCCUUUAUGAAAAACACUGUACAAUUUAGUAGAAAAAGCAAACAAAUUUCAACUCAUCUGAUAGUGUUUAGAAGAGAAUAAAUCAUACUCAAGACAGAAAAUGCUGAAAAUUUCUUAAGGAAAAUUUCCUGAGGGAAAUGUUUUAUGUUAAGUGCUAUAGGCUUCUGGAAUAAUUUCCCUCUAGAAGAUUACAUUUCUGUAUACUCGUUCACAUUCCUUCCUUCUUAAAUUUUUCAGGGGUCUUUCCAUGUGAACUACCACAUAUGUGUUGAACUAAGCUGCAUAUUGCAAUUAGUUUAAGUUUACUAAUUAGAUCAUUCUUUAGUUUUUCUUUCCUUCAUGCUUAGAGCUGAUGCAUUCAUUUAAUGGAAUUGUGUACACAACAAAAAAGCCAAACAAUAACGAAAUCCCUACAAGCUAGAAAAAAACACAAAUCCAAACAAAGCAAACUAAACCAAACCAAACUAGACAGAGGGUAGUGUGUUUCAAAUGAAUCAGGAAGACCCAUCUUUACUCUGAUGAACUUUUAUCACACUGCUCCCUGAAUGGUAGGCCCUUCAGCUUGAUGAGCAGGUCAUUGUACAAACAGCUGCUUAGAGUACUUGCAUUGCAUUGCUCACACUGAGAGGUUCUUUCCAAUGGAAAGAAAGGCUUACAUUCUGGUGUAAAAGGAGGGUUAUUGACACCUUGGCCCCUUUCUCAAUAAUGUUGCUACUGUAGUAGAUGAGAAAAUGAGAUAAAAAUAUUUCUCAUAAUUCUUCUGUAUUCUCUUCUUCUCAUAUCACUUCUGUUCCGUUUAUCUCCCAGGUUUCCCAACUGUUCUGCAAGUGAUUAUACAUAUGCAUAUAUGUAUAUAUAUAUAUAUAUAAGCAAGGUAUUAAAGAUGACUGUGAGGGCAGUGCUUAAAUGACUGACAAAAUGAGAUGGUUUUAAAGUAUAGCAAACUAAUUCAUUAACAGCACUACUUUUGCUAUUGGUUCAUUCUUGCACAUCAUUAAUCAUCAUUCCCACACAGACAAAAAGCUUAGACUUUAACACUCAUGUUUCUAAUUGGCUGUAAGUAUACAGUACCAUGGAUUUGAUGUAGCAGUGUGGGCAGCUUCUGUCCUUGCAAUUUCUUAUUCAUGGAUGUUGAUGAGAUCAGCCUUUGAGAGCUCUUUGAUGAGCACCAAAGUUGUCUAUCUCUCUCUUCCUUGCCUUUCCUCUUUGAGCUUCAAGUUUCACCUCUUUCACCUCCCUUCCAAAAGGGGUGGUCUUCUCUGCUCCUACUACUUAUUUAUUCAUCAUGCCAGUCAUUCUUUUGUAUCUGGCGGGAUGUCCUGUGUAUUUGCAGUCCCUUGCACUUACCUUGUCCUUUGGCAACAUUUUGUCUAUUCUACAAGCAGCUACCCUUAUUGUUUGUCCCUUUGGCAGUGAAACUACCAACGAGUUUAUAUGCCAUCACAUUAUUAAAAGGAGAGCUCGUAUACUGUGUUGGUUGCACUAUUUUACUA
RNAcentral lists this long non-coding RNA (7990 nucleotides) under Gallus gallus (chicken). The record is from RNAcentral. Lineage: Eukaryota; Metazoa; Chordata; Aves; Galliformes; Phasianidae.